Molecule: long non-coding RNA, 937 nt
Organism: Bufo gargarizans (Asiatic toad)
Lineage: Eukaryota; Metazoa; Chordata; Amphibia; Anura; Bufonidae
Exons: 3
Source: RefSeq, a predicted model, not a curated record
AACUUAUCACUCUGGUCCAGGAAAGACCAGAGCUGUGGGACACACGGUCACCUGCGUAUCUUGACCUUGUCAGGGAAGAAGUUUCGUGGGAGAAAGUGGCACGUCGGAUAAAGCCACUGGAAUGGGAUAAAGCGGAUCACCGAGGUCGUGCCGAAAUAGUUAAAAACAUCAAAGUACGAUGGAACAGCUGCAGGGACCAGUUCCGCAGAGAGCUGAACAACAAGGGUCGCAGUGGAGAAGGCUCCUCUCGAAAACGACCCUACAUGUACACGGAGCAACUAAGUUUUCUUCGCCCAGUGAUGGAGUUGAGGCCAACUGUGGACAAUCUAGAGGACAGCGAAGAAUCGGAAUUGGGUGGAUCCGAAACGCCACCAGUAUUUUAGCCAGAAACCAGCCCUCCAGAAACUGCAGCGGUGGAGCCUUCUGAGCCAGCCAUGGCCCCAAGUGGUGGGGAACCGGAAAUGCCCCAAACUUCACAGCAACAGCCCAGGAGACGGAGGAAUGUUCGUCAGCCUGCCUCUGAGCAAGUUAAUCGUGAAAUGAUCGAUGCCCGAGUAAUCGAGUUUCUUGCACAGAGGCGGACUGAUGGGCAAGAGGAAUCUAUGUUAAGGGGCCUUGCACCACUUAUGAGGCAUGUUCCCACAGCAAACCAUCACCAUUGUGUAGCAGCCUUGUCACUGGUUUUGAAAAUGUACACACUCCCAUACCAGGGAGACAUACUGUAUGAUCUCAACCAGAUGUUAAACAAAUAUACGAUGGCUUCAAGUCAUCAGCCUACCAGGUUUGCACAGGCUGCACAUGCAAGCCAUGGUCCACCCUCUUCCGGACCUUCUUUACAUGGUUCACAGGAGCGUAACCCUCCCCUUGCCCAGUCCAUGCCUGUGGACAUGUUUUCAACAGGUGCACCACAAGCGCAACAGGUACGGCCAGGAUCUAG